UGGUUCCGGCAUCGAUGAAGAACGCAGCGAAAUGCGAUAACUAGUGUGAAUUGCAGAAUUCAGUGAAUCAUCGAGUCUUUGAACGCAUAUUGCGCCCGCCGGUAUCCCGGCGGGCACGCCUGUCCGAGCGUCAUUUAAAAGUCAAUCGGGACGUGCGAAAGCGCGCCUCCGGAGCUAGGUGCAUCGUCCCCCGAGGCGACACCCUAAACGCGCGAAGCCAGGCCCGCCCUUCCCCGGUUAACGGGGUAGAAGUGUGGCCGUGAAGCAUCGUGAGGGGUAGGCACGUCGUCGGCCUCGGCCACCUCUCGGUGGACGACGGGGCGCGGCGAGGGAAGCUACCGGCAGCCGUCCCCCAACAAACAGGGGCCGGCGGCCGUCGACGGCGAACUGGGGAGGAGGCCGAAGGUCUCCCCCCCGCCACGUCAGCCGUCACCAACAUCGUACUUGACCUCGGAUCAGGUGGGGACACCCGCUGA
This 476-nucleotide unclassified non-coding RNA is filed under the name uncultured fungus. RNAcentral's name for it is "partial contains 5.8S ribosomal RNA and internal transcribed spacer 2". The stretch from base 1 to 133 matches the Rfam family "5.8S ribosomal RNA", at positions 22 to 154 of the family's 154-position model. Lineage: Eukaryota; Fungi. The record is from RNAcentral.